This 418-nucleotide ribosomal RNA is filed under the name uncultured bacterium. RNAcentral's name for it is "bacterial SSU rRNA". It matches the Rfam family "Bacterial small subunit ribosomal RNA", at positions 21 to 429 of the family's 1533-position model. The record is from RNAcentral.
GGCUCAGAACGAACGUUAGCGGCGCGCCUAACACAUGCAAGUCGAGCGAGAAGGAAGCAAUUCCUGUAAAGCGGCGCACGGGUGAGUAACACGUAGGUAAUCUACCUCGAAGUGGUGGAUAACCUUCCGAAAGGAGGGCUAAUACAGCAUGAGACCACGGUUUCGAAAGAGAUUGAGGUCAAAGCGGGCCACUAUACAUAAGCUCGCGCUUCGAGAUGAGCCUGCGGCCCAUCAUGGUAGUUGGUAGGGUAAUGGCCUACCAAGCCGAAGACGGGUAGCUGGUCUGAGAGGAUGAUCAGCCACACUGGAACUGAGACACGGUCCAGACUCCUACGGGAGGCAGCAGUGGGGAAUCUUGCGCAAUGGGCGAAAGCCUGACGCAGCGACGCCGCGUGAGUGAUGAAGGCCUCGGUGUAAG